Molecule: ribosomal RNA, 253 nt
Filed under: uncultured bacterium
Lineage: Bacteria
Description: partial 16S ribosomal RNA
Rfam family: Bacterial small subunit ribosomal RNA
Source: RNAcentral
UACGUAGGUGGCGAGCGUUGUCCGGAAUUACUGGGUGUAAAGGGAGCGUAGGCGGUUUGGUAAGUUGAGUGUGAAAUCUACCGGCUUAACUGGUAGGCUGCGCUCAAAACUACCAAACUUGAGUGAAGUAGAGGCAGGCGGAAUUCCCGGUGUAGCGGUGGAAUGCGUAGAUAUCGGGAGGAACACCAGUGGCGAAGGCGGCCUGCUGGGCUUUUACUGACGCUGAUGCUCGAAAGCAUGGGGAGCAAACAGG